RNAcentral lists this ribosomal RNA (411 nucleotides) under Prionus imbricornis. RNAcentral describes it as "partial 16S ribosomal RNA". The stretch from base 1 to 203 matches the Rfam family "Archaeal large subunit ribosomal RNA", at positions 1891 to 2143 of the family's 2987-position model. Lineage: Eukaryota; Metazoa; Arthropoda; Insecta; Coleoptera; Cerambycidae. The record is from RNAcentral.
CCUGGUUAUCAAAAACAUGGCCUUUUGAUUAUAAUUUAAGGUCUAGCCUGCCCACUGAGUACUUAAAUGGCCGCGGUACACUGACCGUGCAAAGGUAGCAUAAUCAUUAGUUUUUUAAUUGGAAGCUGGAAUGAAUGGCUGAACAAGAAAAUAACUGUCUCUACUUAAUUUUUAGAAUUUUAUUUUUAAGUAAAAAAGCUUAAACGUUAUUAAAAGACGAGAAGACCCUAUAGAGUUUUAUAUUUUUUGGUACUUAAAUUUUUAGUAUUAUCACUUUGUAUAUCAAAAUUUAUUUAGUUGGGGAGAUUGAAAAAUUUAAUUAACUUUUUUUUUAUUUUAACAUAAAUUAGUGAAUACUUGAUCCAAUUUUUUUGAUUAUAAGAUAAAAUUACCUUAGGGAUAACAGCGUAA